AACCAUAGAAACCUGCGGAGUACCUGCGGAGGGAUCAUUACAGAGUUGCAAAACUCCCUAAACCAUUGUGAACGUUACCUAAACCGUUGCUUCGGCGGGCGGCCCGGGUCCUUCCCGGCGCCCCUCGGCCCUCGCGGGCGCCCGCCGGAGGUAAACCAAACUAUUGCAUUGUAUGGCCUCUCUGAGUCUUCUGUACUGAAUAAGUCAAAACUUUUAACAAUGGAUCUCAGAUCGGAAGAG
RNAcentral lists this unclassified non-coding RNA (240 nucleotides) under soil metagenome. Its description in RNAcentral is "partial contains 5.8S ribosomal RNA, internal transcribed spacer 2, and large subunit ribosomal RNA". The record is from RNAcentral.